AGCGGUUCUGACGUGCAAAUCGAUCGUCAAAUUUGGGCAUAGGGGCGAAAGACUAAUCGAACUAUCUAGUAGCUGGUUCCUGCCGAAGUUUCCCUCAGGAUAGCAGUAACGUUUUCAGUUUUAUGAGGUAAAGCGAAUGAUUAGAGGCCUGGGGGUUGAAACAACCUUCACCUAUUCUCAAACUUUAAAUAUGUAGGAAGUCCUUGCUACUUAAUUGAGCGAGGACAUGCGAAUGAGAGUUUCUAGUUGGCCAUUUUUGGUAAGCAGAACUCGCGAUGCGGGAUGAACCGAACG
Molecule: ribosomal RNA, 294 nt
Filed under: Chloropicon mariensis
Lineage: Eukaryota; Viridiplantae; Chlorophyta; Chloropicophyceae; Chloropicales; Chloropicaceae
Description: partial Eukaryotic large subunit ribosomal RNA
Rfam family: Eukaryotic large subunit ribosomal RNA
Source: RNAcentral